CGCGCCCGAGAGGGUGAGGAAAGUCCGGACUCCGCAGGGCAGAGGACCCGGUCGUCAAGGCCGGGAGUGCGGCGUCAAUCGCCGCAGAUGGACAGCGCCACAGAAAACAGACCGCCGCCGCGAGGCGGCAAGGGUGAAAAGGUGGUGCAAGAGACCACCGGGGCGACGCGCGAGCGAGCCCGCAUGGCAAGCCCUCCUCGGAGCAAGAUCAAAUAGGGGAUUGAACGGGCGGCCCGUCCGGUUUGCGUCCGCGAGGAUGCGAUGAAAUCCCGGGUUGAUUGCUCAGAUGAAUGAUCGGAGCCUGGCCUAGCCAGGUGAACAGAAUCCGGCUUACUCGCCGC
Molecule: RNase P RNA, 341 nt
Filed under: bovine gut metagenome
Description: Bacterial RNase P class A
Rfam family: Bacterial RNase P class A
About the family: Ribonuclease P (RNase P) is a ubiquitous endoribonuclease, found in archaea, bacteria and eukarya as well as chloroplasts and mitochondria. Its best characterised activity is the generation of mature 5'-ends of tRNAs by cleaving the 5'-leader elements of precursor-tRNAs.
Source: RNAcentral